RNAcentral lists this ribosomal RNA (256 nucleotides) under Bacteroides thetaiotaomicron. RNAcentral describes it as "partial 16S ribosomal RNA". It matches the Rfam family "Bacterial small subunit ribosomal RNA", at positions 23 to 279 of the family's 1533-position model. Lineage: Bacteria; Pseudomonadati; Bacteroidota; Bacteroidia; Bacteroidales; Bacteroidaceae. The record is from RNAcentral.
CUCAGAUUGAACGCUGGCGGCAUGCCUUACACAUGCAAGUCGAACGGCAGCACGGGUGCUUGCACCUGGUGGCGAGUGGCGAACGGGUGAGUAAUACAUCGGAACAUGUCCUGUAGUGGGGGAUAGCCCGGCGAAAGCCGGAUUAAUACCGCAUACGAUCUACGGAUGAAAGCGGGGGACCUUCGGGCCUCGCGCUAUAGGGUUGGCCGAUGGCUGAUUAGCUAGUUGGUGGGGUAAAGGCCUACCAAGGCGACGA